Molecule: ribosomal RNA, 254 nt
Filed under: uncultured bacterium
Lineage: Bacteria
Description: partial 16S ribosomal RNA
Rfam family: Bacterial small subunit ribosomal RNA
Source: RNAcentral
UACGGGGGGAGCAAGCGUUGUUCGGAUUUACUGGGCGUAAAGGGCGCGUAGGCGGCCACCGCAAGUCGACUGUGAAAUCUCCGGGCUUAACCCGGAAAGGUCAGCCGAUACUGCGGGGCUAGAGUGCAGAAGGGGCAACUGGAAUUCUCGGUGUAGCGGUGAAAUGCGCAGAUAUCAGGAGGAACACCGGUGGCGAAGGCGACAUCCUGGACCGGCAUUGACGCUGAGGCGCGAAAGCCAGGGGAGCAAACGGG